RNAcentral lists this ribosomal RNA (447 nucleotides) under uncultured bacterium. RNAcentral describes it as "partial 16S ribosomal RNA". It matches the Rfam family "Bacterial small subunit ribosomal RNA", at positions 29 to 523 of the family's 1533-position model. The record is from RNAcentral.
AACGAACGCUGGCGGCAGGCUUAACACAUGCAAGUCGAGCGCCCCGCAAGGGGAGCGGCAGACGGGUGAGUAACGCGUGGGAACAUACCCUUUCCUGCGGAAUAGCUCCGGGAAACUGGAAUUAAUACCGCAUACGCCCUACGGGGGAAAGAUUUAUCGGGGAAGGAUUGGCCCGCGUUGGAUUAGCUAGUUGGUGGGGUAAAGGCCUACCAAGGCGACGAUCCAUAGCUGGUCUGAGAGGAUGAUCAGCCACAUUGGGACUGAGACACGGCCCAAACUCCUACGGGAGGCAGCAGUGGGGAAUAUUGGACAAUGGGCGCAAGCCUGAUCCAGCCAUGCCGCGUGAGUGAUGAGGGCCUUAGGGUUGUAAAGCUCUUUCACCGGAGAAGAUAAUGACGGUAUCCGGAGAAGAAGCCCCGGCUAACUUCGUGCCAGCCGCCGCCGUAA